RNAcentral lists this long non-coding RNA (255 nucleotides) under Microcebus murinus (gray mouse lemur). Its description in RNAcentral is "lncRNA (ENSMICG00000048666.1)". The record is from RNAcentral. Lineage: Eukaryota; Metazoa; Chordata; Mammalia; Primates; Cheirogaleidae.
CAGAAACAUCUGAUUUCAAAGAGAUGCUCACAUUCUGUACUGAUGCCAUCUAGAAAUGUAAAUGCCCAAUGUCACAUUGCUAAGUGGAGAAAGAUUUCAAGGUGAGAGAUGUGCAUAAAUUAGAGGCAGCUGGAGACAUUUAAAAGUCAGCCUACUAUUCCUGGGUGAUGGCUGCAUCAUAAUAUCCAGUGUACUUACUGAUUGAGUGAACUGUAUUCUCAAACAAGUAAGCAAAUUUAUGCCAAAUUUAGAUAU